RNAcentral lists this long non-coding RNA (1263 nucleotides) under Pogona vitticeps (central bearded dragon). Its description in RNAcentral is "lncRNA (ENSPVIG00000025599.1)". The record is from RNAcentral. Lineage: Eukaryota; Metazoa; Chordata; Lepidosauria; Squamata; Agamidae.
AAAAUGCCUCCCAUAUAUAGUGGCACUCAGGUGACCUGAUGAAGAAUCAGUUUGUUUUCUUUUGCUUCAAAUACACCUUUGCGCAUAUUUUUGCACAUUGUGGGGAUACAGUACAGAGCCAUGUAGUUCUGCCUUCGAGGAAAAACAGGAAGUGAAAUCAUGAAUGGGAUAUUUCUGCUCCUUAAAAGGUGGGCAGUAGUCAUGUAACUUACACUUAAAGAGCAAUUUAGCACCAAUUUAACUAUUAACCCACCCACCCCAAUUUAACCUGAAUUUAAUUUUCAAGUCAACUAAGAGGUUUAUACUGUGUUAUAAGCCCACUUGCUACUCACCUUCCUACUUCUGCAGUAGCUACAUUCAAUAUGUGUGGGUAGAAUUCAUUAUAAUUAACACAAAAUGAAAACAUAAUUGUCUGGUUUUAUGGCUUGGCUCCUUAAAAUAAACAUGGUAAAUAUUCUUUCAGCUGUUAUUUUUUCCCCCUCAAAAAAAAAAAGAGUUGUAGAUACACCCAACUAUUUUAUGGGAAGAGGCGCUUUAAAAUACCUGUUAUUGACCUUUUAACCUUCUCUCUUCCCUUUAGACCAUUAUUUUUGGUUUCAGGUCAACCCAGUUUAUUAGAUUACUUGCCGCAAACUUGUCAUCAGCUUAGAGAGAAUGUGCAACUUUCUUUGAACCCGGAGGCUUGGGCCCUCGCAGAAGAUGCUUGAGCACCAAGGUGGAACAACCACAAUCCAAACAAGAAUAGGUGUUGGAAGCAGCUUGGGGGCCUUCUGUCUGCCAACUAGGAACACCUACCUCAGGAAGUGGGGGAAAGGACACAGUGGUGUUAUGGGGGUAGGUCAAAAUGAAGAAAAUGUGGACCCACUAAAUCUGCCGCCCUCUCAGCCCCUGAUCCUGUCCCUAGGACAGGAUGAGAUUGAAGACCUGCAGGACAAAGCUAACUUCUUUCAUCCAUUGCCUACAGUACAAUUUGUUUUGAGGUAAGCCUGUUAACUUUUUUUUUGGUGGAAGCCCCGAAAAAAAAUUACAGUACUCUGCCAAAAUACUGAUAGAAAGAAAGAAAAGCAGAGAAGCUUAGGUGUUUGGAAGAUGCCUGACCUCAAGCCAUAUAAAUGUUCAGUAGAGUUUUGGAGUGAAAUUAGUUUUGCAGAAAUAAUCCAUAAACUCGUCAAAUACUUGUUCCACCUGAAUGGAAUGGUGCAUUCUAAAGUUAAGUGAGGUGCCUGCUUAGAAAUAAAAUGAAGAUGGCCAGAAAAUACUACA